Molecule: ribosomal RNA, 429 nt
Filed under: uncultured archaeon
Lineage: Archaea
Description: bacterial SSU rRNA
Rfam family: Archaeal small subunit ribosomal RNA
Source: RNAcentral
UACCUGCAGCUCAAGUGGUGAUCAUUAUUAUUGGGCCUAAAACGUCCGUAGCCGGUUUAGUAAAUGCCUGGGUAAAUCGUGUAGCUUAACUAUACGACUUCCGGGUAGACUACUAAACUUGAGACCGGGAGAGGCUAGAGGUACUCCUGGGGUAGAGGUGAAAUUCUGUAAUCCUAGGGGGACCACCAGUGGCGAAGGCGUCUAGCUAGAACGGGUCUGACGGUGAGGGACGAAGCCCUGGGGCACAAACCGGAUUAGAUACCCGGGUAGUCCAGGGUGUAAACGCUGCUUGCUUGAUGUUAGUUGGGCUCCGAGCCCGACUAGUGUCGGAGAGAAGUUGUUAAGCAAGCUGCCUGGGAAGUACGGUCGCAAGGCUGAAACUUAAAGGAAUUGGCGGGGGAGCACAGCAACGGGUGGAGCGUGCGGUUU